Molecule: ribosomal RNA, 253 nt
Filed under: uncultured bacterium
Lineage: Bacteria
Description: partial 16S ribosomal RNA
Rfam family: Bacterial small subunit ribosomal RNA
Source: RNAcentral
UACAGAGGUCUCAAGCGUUGUUCGGAUUCAUUGGGCGUAAAGCGCGCGUAGGCGGCUUUGUAAGUUAGAGGUGAAAGCCCGGGGCUCAACCCCGGAACUGCCUUUAAGACUGCAUCGCUUGAAUCCGGGAGAGGUGAGUGGAAUUCCGAGUGUAGAGGUGAAAUUCGUAGAUAUUCGGAAGAACACCAGUGGCGAAGGCGGCUCACUGGACCGGCAUUGACGCUGAGGUGCGAAAGCGUGGGGAGCAAACAGG